This 249-nucleotide ribosomal RNA is filed under the name uncultured bacterium. RNAcentral describes it as "partial 16S ribosomal RNA". It matches the Rfam family "Bacterial small subunit ribosomal RNA", at positions 523 to 769 of the family's 1533-position model. The record is from RNAcentral.
AUACGGAAGGUGCAAGCGUUAAUCGGAAUCACUGGGCGUAAAGCGCUCGUAGGUGGCUUUGUAAGUCAGGUGUGAAAGCCCACGGCUCAACCGUGGAAUUGCACUUGAUACUGCAUUGCUUGAGUUCGGGAGAGGGUAGUGGAAUUCCAGGUGUAGGAGUGAAAUCCGUAGAGAUCUGGAGGAACACCAGUGGCGAAGGCGGCUUACUGGUCCCCAUUACUGACGCUGAGGUGCGAAAGCGUGGGGAGC